RNA transcript from Nilaparvata lugens (brown planthopper), 4295 nucleotides. It is a transcript of the gene named spondin-1, with no coding region annotated. Lineage: Eukaryota; Metazoa; Arthropoda; Insecta; Hemiptera; Delphacidae. The record is from RefSeq and is a predicted model, not a curated record. The transcript has 21 exons.
AAGAGCAGUGUUGAACUACUGUGCUUUCAGUGCGGUGCUUCGAUGGUAGGUGCUGCGUUAUAAAUAAAAGUACGCUAAUAUUGUGCGCUGAGAUUUUUCGUCGUUCACUAGAAUUUUGAGAUUUGAAAACACUAUAAUAAAAACUCCGAUUCAUUUUCAAAAAACUAUCACGUCAAAUCCCAGUGGCCACAAGACGUCACUUCAAAUUUGUUUACUCCAAAAUAAGAGUGUAGAAAUCAGGGGAUAUGCGUGGAGGUGUCCAGCUGACCAUAGCUGCAACAGUAUUGGUGCUGGUUGUGUGUUGUACGAGCAGUCUACACGGCCUGCGAUGCGAUCUCUCGCCCGAUGGAGUCAGCACGCCAAAGACUAUGGCUGACGGCCGCUUCCAACUCACCAUCAGUGGCGACAUUGAACGCUACAAUCCUGACGUCAGUUACACAGUAAGCAUCCAAGGAAUGCGUGAUGGUCCGUCAUCCAAUGUGCCCAAGUUCAUUGGUUUCAAACUGAUAGCUGAAGCACAGGUUCCAAUGUGGAUGUCAUUCUCAGAAAUUGAAAAUAGGCCUGUCGGAGUUUUCUCCUUGUAUGGGGAUGCAUUGACGAAGUUCAGUGACAGUUGUCCUAAUAUGGUGACACAGACAUCGUUCACAUCAAAGACCGAAAUAUCAGUCAUAUGGAAAGCACCACCAUCAGGCAGUGGGUGCUUGACAAUAAGAGCAACAGUGAUUGAGCACAGAGAUACAUGGUAUCAAGAUGAGAGACUGCUCUCGCGCACUCUCUGUGAAAACGUUGAAGACAGCUUUGAUAGCGCGCCACCAUUCAUCAGAGAGUGUUGCUCCUGCAAUGAAGCCAAGUAUGAGGUAACAUUUGAAGGGCUGUGGUCGAGGCACACACAUCCGAAAGAUUUCCCUACGAAUAGUUGGUUGACAAGAUUCAGUGACGUUAUUGGUGCUUCACAUACUUCUAAUUACAGUUUCUGGGAGUAUGGAGGACUGGCAUCAGGAGGUCUCCGCCAGGUUGCCUUGAAUGGAGCAACCAAACAGCUUGAAGCUGAACUCAAGCAAGAGAGUCAAAACAUACGCACAAUUAUCAAAGCAAGAGGUAUAAGCUAUCCGAAUGUAACUGGGAAAACAUUUGCAGUAUUCAGAGUGGACAAGAAGCAUCAUCUUAUCUCUCUGGUUUCAAUGAUUGAUCCCUCGCCGGACUGGGUAGUUGGAGUAUCAAAACUAGAACUGUGCUUGGAGAAUUGCAGUUGGGUCGAAAACAAAGUUCUGAAUUUAUAUCCUUGGGAUACUGGGAUAGACAGUGGUAUAACUUAUACAUCACCGACGCAGCCAACUGUACCACAAGAACCAAUCAGACGGAUCAAUUCAUCGUAUCCAGCUGAUCACAAAUCUCCAUUUUUCGAUCCUUCAGGUGAAGAGAUGAAGCCAAUGGCUAAACUGUAUUUGAAUAGACAAAGAAUUUAUGAGAGAAGCUGCACUGAUUCAGAAGAACUUUCCGAACCUGAUGAUGCUUGUGAAGUGUUGAGACAAUGGUCCGAUUGGGGCAUAUGCAUCCCUACAGAGAGCUGCGGCAUUGGCUUUCAGACCAGACAGAGAGAGUACAAAGAGCCUGAGAAAGCUGGUUCAUUACUAUGCAGUGAACAGGUGACCCAACGCAAAAACUGCACCAUACCAAAUGCAAACUGUGGACCAGACAUAAGGUAUUUGAGCAGAGUUCUGCCUGAAUGUGAGCAGGCCGAGUGGAGUGAUUGGUCAACCUGUUCAGCCACUUGUGGGCGUGGCAAUAAAGUGCGGCAGAAGAUUUUCAAAGAUGAAUUUGAAAAAGAGUGCCGUUUCAACGUUGAAUUUCAAGAAACUCGUGAAUGCGAUGAGCCACUUGAUGAUUGCAGUCAAACAUAUCCAGAAGGCUCGCUUGCGGACAGUGACAAAUGUCCUUGGAGCCACUGGUCGCCCUGCAUGGCCAGCUGCAACAAGGGCAAGCAGAUCCGCACCCGAUUUGCACUGCCGCACUAUGUCGCCGACGACCCGUGCACGGGACUCGUCAUGACGGAGGAGGUCGAGUGUGACACCGGCAGGAGUUGCGACAUCUCCACUGAGCAAGCCUACGAGAUUUGCCAGCUUUCCAAAGAUGUGGGACCAUGCAGAGGUUACUACAAGCGCUGGUUCUUCGACACUCUCACUCAAUACUGUCAAGAAUUCAUUUACACAGGUUGUAGAGGAAAUAAAAAUCGAUUCAUGACACAAAAUGAAUGUGAACACACCUGCAGAAAAUUCAAAGAUGCAUGUAUCUCCAUCAAUAAUGAGUCAUGUGUUUGAUUGACUGUGUGCAUGUCUGAACUGAUCAAACAGCGGAACUGAUUGCUAACAGAACUGCCAUGUUGAAACAGUAUGGAGUUUCAUUAUCUGGAGCAAUUUCAUACAAUGUUGAACUGCAAGAUACUAACUGUGAAUACUCAACACCACCAGGGAUUCCCUCUAGAUCACAAAUAAAGGCAACAUCAGAGAGUCCGGAUUCAGAUAAUCAGGACGUCCAGGAGGGCGAGCAGUGCGAGUACUCGAAAUGGGGCAAAUGGUCUCAGUGCUCGAAAAAGUGUGGUCGAGGCGAGCGCGAGAGAUUUCGAACUGUCAAGGUCAAGCCGAAAACAGGUGAAAGCUGUCCAGAAAUUCAACAGAAGAAAAAGUGUAGAGGAAAACAAUGUGGCAACCCGGAACUGUGCAAGUACUCGAACUGGAGCGUGUGGUCGCCAUGCUCGGCAACGUGUGGUCACGGCGCAACCCGUCAGCGCACCCGUCACGUCAUCCCCGUCAAGCAUUUCAACACUGACGUCUGCAUCGACCGAGUCGAGAAGCAGCAAUGCAUUGUGCUCCCUUGCUUUUAGGUUAAACUUACCAUCUAUUAAUAUGUAUGUAUACUUUUCUAUUACCGAUUAAUAAUUUAUUGUCUAAUAUACACAAUUCUGAUAAUAACCUUGUAAAAACUUAGAACGCUUGUAACUUUAUGAUUUUUACGUGGAAGUAAUGGAUAUGAUUUGUUUCUUUCAAUAAUGUAUACUUAGGGUGGCAUUAAUUUCAUCACGGAUUUUAGUUUAUCACAAAUCAGCUGUUUAAGAGGGUCUUAAGGCCCAUUUCACAACAAAGCUGGGCCGAGCGGAAUCGGCUGGAGGCGGAUCGACUUAGCGAAAUCUGCCUGCGUUCGCACUGAAGCCAAUUCACUCAGUAGGUUUUCUAGCCUUGUAGUUAGAACUCACUAUGUGGGAAGAUCGAACUAAACUGAAAGAAUCCGCUUGGCCGAAAAUGCUCGAGUUGGGCGUCAAGCUGACUGCACAAAUCCGCUCGGCUCGGCCCGGCGUUGAUUUGAAUGCUCCUGACUAAAUCCUGCAUAGUUGACGCGCACGCGGAUUCCGCUCGGCUCGGCCCAGCUUUGGUGUGAAACCCCACUAAGUUUGUCAAGUUCCCGUUGCUUUUAGAAAGUCCAGUGGAUACAGUAUCAUAUAUUCAAAUGAUACUUAUAAUAAUAUAUUUCUAAUAAUACCAGCAUAUUGCCAUUAAAAAGCAAAACUUAAACCUCCAACCUACCCUAUUAUCUUUGAAACUAAUUAAAAAUAACUUGUCAGGUUAUGUCGUGUUUCGAUGAACUGAACGUCUCAACUUCCAAUUUAUUUUCACGGAAUGGUCAAAAUAGGCAUGUGAAGAUAUGAGAUCCUCCAGUACACAGCAGUUAGUACUGAACAUUAUCGAAUAUCAAAAUUAUUCCAACUAUAUUGAAUUGUUUUUUUGCUUUUCGAUGUCCACUUUAAGCUUUCGAUUGUGAGUGAGUGUUGAGAUGAGAACUAGCCGACUGUAGUGUUGAUACUAUGAUAGUGUUGUAUCAACACUCCAAUGGGCCAUGGAUGAGAUGAUCAAAUAUCCAUGUACCCGGGUUGAAUCACGACCAGUUACAUAAAAGCAGGCUGAAGUUCCGAAUCCUCAGACCACUCAGCCACGUUGCGUUAUAGUUCUGACUCAAUUCCAUCAUUCACACAUUUAUUCAUAAUACCUACAUUUAUACUAUUCUUCUUAAUUUUAUGUAAAAUAGCCUAUCUUUGGUAAAUCUAAUUUUCACUUACAGUCAUAAAGUGUAAGUAAGUUGAGAGUUAACAGCUCAAAUAAUUCAGUAUUACAAAAAUUAAAAGCACAUAAUUUUAGUUCGAUAGAUGUUAGAUUAGUAAUUUAUAAUGUAUAAAUUGGUGUUUUAGUAGAGUAAGAUUUGCAUAUUCAAUGUGGAAAUUAAAUCAAUAGCGUGUCAAUUCAAAA